UAUAGGGUCGCACAGAGUCGGACACAACUGAAGCGACUUAGCAGCAAGAGAUGAGGAUUAGAAGAGGAAAUUAGAAAGAACUAAAAACAGCUGCUUCAAACAGCAACUGCUACUUAUUCCCCAAUUUAUUAAUUCUUGAUUCCUUUUUAAUACAGACACCAUUUCUAACCCCCUCUGUAGUUUGUUGAGAACUUAACGGCAAAGUUCUAAGGGUACGUGAGAUUCUAGGGAGUGUCCUUAAAGAGAGGGCAUGUGUUCUUUGUCUCUUCCUCCUUCACGCUGGAAAUGACUGGAAUGUUGGUAGCCAUCCUGGACUCCUGAGGAAGGUGAAGAGGAAGAAGGAAGGGGCCGGAGUUUCUGCCCUGAGAAUCCUGUCAGGGUGGGAGCAAUGGCAAUGACAGAGGGAGCAGUGGGACCCGCAGGCACCGCAACCUGAGGGAUGCGAGGUCACAGGUGCUGUGAUCCAAGAGGUGUCUUCCAGAGAACAGAAGUUUUAAACUCUGAUGAAGUGCAAUUUACAAUUUUUGCUAUUAUGGACUAUGCUUGGGGUAUCAUGCCUAUGAAAGCUUUGUCUGAACCAAAGUCACAAAGAUUUUCUGCUAUGUUUUCUUCUAGAAAUGUUAUAGUUUGUUUUUGUAUUUGGGUCUGUAAUCCAUUCAAGUUAAUUUUUGUGUAUGGUAGAGGACUGGAGUUCUACAUUUUGGUUAUGGAUAUCCAGUGGUUCCAGUACCAUUUGUUGAAAAGAUUAGCCAUUCUCCACCGAAUUUUCUUAGCAAUUUUGUCAAAACAUAGCUGUCCAUAUAUGUGUAGGCCUAUUUCUGAACUCUAUUCUCUGCCAUUCAUUUAUUUUCCCAGUAUUUAUGCUAAUAGCUUAUUGUCUUGAUUACUGAAGCUUUAUCAUGUCUUGAAAUCAGGUAGUAUUAGCCUUCCAAACUUGUCUUUUUCAAAGUUAUUUUUGGCUAGUCUAGAACCUUUGCAUUACCAUGUCAAAUUUAAAAUCAGCUUGUGAAUUUCAACAACAAAAAAACCCUGCUGGGAUUUGAAUAGGAAUUGCAUUGAAUCUAUAGAACAACCUGGGGAAGACUGAAAUCUUAACAAUUUUGAGUCUUUCAACCUAUGAACAAAGCAUAUUUCUUUAUUCAUUUAUGGCAAAUUUUCCUCAGCUGAUUUUAUAGCUUCUAAUGUACAUGUUUUUAAUAUCUUUUGUCAGAUUUAUUCCUAGAUAUUUCACAUGUUUGAUACUAUUAUAAAUGAUAAUUUUUUUUAAAUUUCAGUUUUUGAAUGUUCAUUUCUAGGGAAUAGAAACAUUAUUAUUUUUAAUAUGGCUCUACAUACUGCAAUCUUGCUAAAUUCACUUAUUAAUUCUAGUAGCUUUUAAAAAUAGAUUCCAACAGAUUUUCUAAACAAUUGUACCGAAUGUUGUCUAUAAAUAAAGAUAAUUUUACUUCUCUUUUCUCAGCCUGGAUGCCUUUUAUUUCCUAUUCCUCCCCUGCUGUACUGACUUGAAUAAACUUACACAAUAGUACAAUGUUGAAAAGACUUUACAAGAGCAGAUAUCUUUGUU
Molecule: long non-coding RNA, 1564 nt
Organism: Bubalus bubalis (water buffalo)
Lineage: Eukaryota; Metazoa; Chordata; Mammalia; Artiodactyla; Bovidae
Exons: 3
Source: RefSeq, a predicted model, not a curated record